RNAcentral lists this microRNA precursor (99 nucleotides) under Marmota monax (woodchuck). Lineage: Eukaryota; Metazoa; Chordata; Mammalia; Rodentia; Sciuridae. The record is from RNAcentral.
AGUGGGAUAACUGGGUCAAAUGGUUUCACUCAUGUUUUCUAAGGAAUCUCCAUACUGCUUUCCAGAGUGGUUGCCCCAGUUUGCAGUCCCACCAGCAAU